AAGUGAGAUUUGGAAGUGGAGAUAGUGAAAAAUUGAGGAAUUGGGAAAAGAGGCAGAAAGGGAGAGAGACAGAUCUAUGAGAAUUCAGAGAGGGAGAAAGCCCAUAAAAAUUCAUCGAUCUUCAAACCUUAGGGCAGGACUUUGAUCCAAUGAGGUUGAGUGCUCAGAAAGAGUCAGUGACGAGGUUCAUUGCUUAGAGAGAGCAUGUGACGAGGUACAGUCCCCAGAGAGAGAUAAUGAUGAGAUCCAGUGCUUAGAGAGAGCCAAUGACGGUCUCCUUAUUCAGAGAGAACAUUUUUCAUAAAGGAGUUGGAGACAUGAAUAUUCCCGUAAAAUAACUCGGACAUCCAAACUUUUGGUACCACAUGCAUUAUAUGAGGAGGAGUACAUUGCAUUAGUACAUUAGCAUUAUGAUUGUCGUUGUUAUUUUGUGAAUUAUUGUGUGAGAAUGAUAAUUGAUGUUAUGUAUGACUAUCCUAACUGUUUAUUACACUGUUAACAUUAUGAACA
Molecule: long non-coding RNA, 510 nt
Organism: Lathyrus oleraceus (garden pea)
Lineage: Eukaryota; Viridiplantae; Streptophyta; Magnoliopsida; Fabales; Fabaceae
Exons: 2
Source: RefSeq, a predicted model, not a curated record